CGCAGGAUUUGCUUGUGAAUGGGUGUGCUUGAUUCAAUCACAGGAAAAUUCUGUGCG
RNAcentral lists this microRNA precursor (57 nucleotides) under Tribolium castaneum (red flour beetle). RNAcentral describes it as "Tca-Mir-2-P8_pre stem-loop". Lineage: Eukaryota; Metazoa; Arthropoda; Insecta; Coleoptera; Tenebrionidae. The record is from RNAcentral.